CCUACGGGAGGCAGCAGUGGGGAAUAUUGCACAAUGGGCGCAAGCCUGAUGCAGCCAUGCCGCGUGUGUGAAGAAGGCUCUUCGGGUUGUAAAGCACUUUCAGCGAGGAGGAAGGCCAGUGACUUAAUAACUGGCUGGAUUGACGUUACUCGCAGAAGAAGCACCGGCUAACUCCGUGCCAGCAGCCGCGGUAAU
RNAcentral lists this ribosomal RNA (195 nucleotides) under uncultured bacterium. RNAcentral describes it as "partial 16S ribosomal RNA". It matches the Rfam family "Bacterial small subunit ribosomal RNA", at positions 338 to 524 of the family's 1533-position model. The record is from RNAcentral.